This 309-nucleotide unclassified non-coding RNA is filed under the name plant metagenome. RNAcentral's name for it is "partial contains 5.8S ribosomal RNA, internal transcribed spacer 2, and large subunit ribosomal RNA". The stretch from base 1 to 105 matches the Rfam family "5.8S ribosomal RNA", at positions 50 to 154 of the family's 154-position model. The record is from RNAcentral.
GAAAUGCGAUAAGUAGUGUGAAUUGCAGAAUUCAGUGAAUCAUCGAAUCUUUGAACGCACAUUGCGCCCCUUGGUAUUCCAUGGGGCAUGCCUGUUCGAGCGUCAUUUGUACCCUCAAGCUCUGCUUGGUGUUGGGUGUUUGUCCCGUCUCCGCGCGUGCACUCGCCCCAAAGUGAUUGGCAGCCGGCGUACUGGUCCCGGAGCGCAGCACAUGUCGCGCAAACGAGUGCCUUGGUACGGCGGCGUCCAUAAGCCCCUCUCUCACGCUCUUGACCUCGGAUCAGGUAGGGAUACCCGCUGAACUUAAGC